UUAUAGGUCAUUCACAGUAUUAUAGAAAUUUACAGACAAAGAACCACUGAAAACUGUGACACCUAGAUUAGUGAGACUAUUCAUAGGGAGACUAGGGACAGAGGACAUCACCGUUACCGGGUCACAACAGAGACCGGCAUGUGCACGCGCCUCUUCCACAGGUAAACAGACCUCAGUAAUAAGAGAAUCGGUUUUUUUGGAAAUGAAACGAGACCAAUACAACUAUCGACCAAUUAUCUUCUUCUGUACACCCAGCAUUUAUCACAGGUGUGUCGCAGGCUUCAUUAUCAUAUAAAAGAGGUAAAUAGACAUGGGUCUGUAUCAGCGUUAAACUUUCGACUGGAUGGCAGCAGCGACGUAAGGCUGCACUUUGAUGGGAGAUGGUCAGCUCUUUGCCUCGGAAAUUCAAGAUUUCAGCUGCCUAGUUUGUGGACUUCCGGUAGACGAUUAGUUAGAGACGAUUUUAAAUCGAGAAAGCUGCUGGCAAUAAGGAGCAACAGAAGUGCUGAUGGGGGAUGUGACGGGCUCUCAGGACGGCUGGAGAUCUUCCAUAACAACUCGUGGAUUGCAGCUUAUUGCUGUGUGUAACAAUUCUUUUGGGGAGCCAGAAAUGCAUACAGUUUGUUACCAAAUUUCAAAUGGAACAAGCAAAGAGAGACGUUAUGUGAACGGACUGAAUGUCUUGCCCAUUACACCAUUGAGUAAUAUUUCCCUAGACGGCGUCAAGUGCCUGCCAGGCCAGGAGAGCUUACAGGAAUGUUGCACAAACCCUGGGAACAACACAGGUGUGCCGCAAACAAAUUCGUUCAUCUGGCUUGCCGUGAAUGUGCUUAGAACAGUCCCUCUGUAAGCCACAGCAGAAAAAUAUUGUUUACUGAUGGCAAUAUAGCGUUGUGUUCAUGGCCCUGUGAAGAAACGUCAGUUUCAAGUCUAAUUUGUGUACUCCUUUUUUUCUGUAACAAAUUCGUGUUUCUAUAUUGCUUUGGUUAUUGUGUGGCUAAGAGGUAGUUCAAAAGCAGUUGUUGAUGUUUAUUUUACACAGUUUGGAUCCGGCUUGUGUA
Molecule: long non-coding RNA, 1061 nt
Organism: Liolophura sinensis
Lineage: Eukaryota; Metazoa; Mollusca; Polyplacophora; Chitonida; Chitonidae
Exons: 6
Source: RefSeq, a predicted model, not a curated record